This 497-nucleotide ribosomal RNA is filed under the name uncultured bacterium. RNAcentral's name for it is "partial 16S ribosomal RNA". It matches the Rfam family "Bacterial small subunit ribosomal RNA", at positions 28 to 507 of the family's 1533-position model. The record is from RNAcentral.
GAUGAACGCUGGCGGCGUGCCUAAUACAUGCAAGUCGAGCGAACAGACGAGGAGCUUGCUCCUCUGACGUUAGCGGCGGACGGGUGAGUAACACGUGGAUAACCUACCUAUAAGACUGGGAUAACUUCGGGAAACCGGAGCUAAUACCGGAUAAUAUAUUGAACCGCAUGGUUCAAUAGUGAAAGACGGUUUUGCUGUCCCUUAUAGAUGGAUCCGCGCGGCAUUAGCUAGUUGGUAAGGUAACGGCUUACCAAGGCAACGAUGCGUAGCCGACCUGAGAGGGUGAUCGGCCACACUGGAACUGAGACACGGCCCAGACUCCGACGGGAGGCAGCAGUAGGGAAGCUUCCGCAAUGGGCGAAAGCCUGACGGAGCAACGCCGCGUGAGUGAUGAAGGUCUUCGGAUCGUAAAACUCUGUUAUUAGGGAAGAACAAAUGUGUAAGUAACUAUGCACGUCUUGACGGUACCUAAUCAGAAAGCCACGGCUAACUACGUG